RNAcentral lists this ribosomal RNA (2789 nucleotides) under Escherichia coli. Its description in RNAcentral is "bacterial LSU rRNA". It matches the Rfam family "Bacterial large subunit ribosomal RNA". Lineage: Bacteria; Pseudomonadati; Pseudomonadota; Gammaproteobacteria; Enterobacterales; Enterobacteriaceae. The record is from RNAcentral.
AGCGUACACGGUGGAUGCCCUGGCAGUCAGAGGCGAUGAAGGACGUGCUAAUCUGCGAUAAGCGUCGGUAAGGUGAUAUGAACCGUUAUAACCGGCGAUUUCCGAAUGGGGAAACCCAGUGUGUUUCGACACACUAUCAUUAACUGAAUCCAUAGGUUAAUGAGGCGAACCGGGGGAACUGAAACAUCUAAGUACCCCGAGGAAAAGAAAUCAACCGAGAUUCCCCCAGUAGCGGCGAGCGAACGGGGAGCAGCCCAGAGCCUGAAUCAGUGUGUGUGUUAGUGGAAGCGUCUGGAAAGGCGUGCGAUACAGGGUGACAGCCCCGUACACAAAAAUGCACAUGCUGUGAGCUCGAUGAGUAGGGCGGGACACGUGGUAUCCUGUCUGAAUAUGGGGGGACCAUCCUCCAAGGCUAAAUACUCCUGACUGACCGAUAGUGAACCAGUACCGUGAGGGAAAGGCGAAAAGAACCCCGGCGAGGGGAGUGAAAAAGAACCUGAAACCGUGUACGUACAAGCAGUGGGAGCACGCUUAGGCGUGUGACUGCGUACCUUUUGUAUAAUGGGUCAGCGACUUAUAUUCUGUAGCAAGGUUAACCGAAUAGGGGAGCCGAAGGGAAACCGAGUCUUAACUGGGCGUUAAGUUGCAGGGUAUAGACCCGAAACCCGGUGAUCUAGCCAUGGGCAGGUUGAAGGUUGGGUAACACUAACUGGAGGACCGAACCGACUAAUGUUGAAAAAUUAGCGGAUGACUUGUGGCUGGGGGUGAAAGGCCAAUCAAACCGGGAGAUAGCUGGUUCUCCCCGAAAGCUAUUUAGGUAGCGCCUCGUGAAUUCAUCUCCGGGGGUAGAGCACUGUUUCGGCAAGGGGGUCAUCCCGACUUACCAACCCGAUGCAAACUGCGAAUACCGGAGAAUGUUAUCACGGGAGACACACGGCGGGUGCUAACGUCCGUCGUGAAGAGGGAAACAACCCAGACCGCCAGCUAAGGUCCCAAAGUCAUGGUUAAGUGGGAAACGAUGUGGGAAGGCCCAGACAGCCAGGAUGUUGGCUUAGAAGCAGCCAUCAUUUAAAGAAAGCGUAAUAGCUCACUGGUCGAGUCGGCCUGCGCGGAAGAUGUAACGGGGCUAAACCAUGCACCGAAGCUGCGGCAGCGACGCUUAUGCGUUGUUGGGUAGGGGAGCGUUCUGUAAGCCUGUGAAGGUGUACUGUGAGGUAUGCUGGAGGUAUCAGAAGUGCGAAUGCUGACAUAAGUAACGAUAAAGCGGGUGAAAAGCCCGCUCGCCGGAAGACCAAGGGUUCCUGUCCAACGUUAAUCGGGGCAGGGUGAGUCGACCCCUAAGGCGAGGCCGAAAGGCGUAGUCGAUGGGAAACAGGUUAAUAUUCCUGUACUUGGUGUUACUGCGAAGGGGGGACGGAGAAGGCUAUGUUGGCCGGGCGACGGUUGUCCCGGUUUAAGCGUGUAGGCUGGUUUUCCAGGCAAAUCCGGAAAAUCAAGGCUGAGGCGUGAUGACGAGGCACUACGGUGCUGAAGCAACAAAUGCCCUGCUUCCAGGAAAAGCCUCUAAGCAUCAGGUAACAUCAAAUCGUACCCCAAACCGACACAGGUGGUCAGGUAGAGAAUACCAAGGCGCUUGAGAGAACUCGGGUGAAGGAACUAGGCAAAAUGGUGCCGUAACUUCGGGAGAAGGCACGCUGAUAUGUAGGUGAAGUCCCUCGCGGAUGGAGCUGAAAUCAGUCGAAGAUACCAGCUGGCUGCAACUGUUUAUUAAAAACACAGCACUGUGCAAACACGAAAGUGGACGUAUACGGUGUGACGCCUGCCCGGUGCCGGAAGGUUAAUUGAUGGGGUUAGCCGCAAGGCGAAGCUCUUGAUCGAAGCCCCGGUAAACGGCGGCCGUAACUAUAACGGUCCUAAGGUAGCGAAAUUCCUUGUCGGGUAAGUUCCGACCUGCACGAAUGGCGUAAUGAUGGCCAGGCUGUCUCCACCCGAGACUCAGUGAAAUUGAACUCGCUGUGAAGAUGCAGUGUACCCGCGGCAAGACGGAAAGACCCCGUGAACCUUUACUAUAGCUUGACACUGAACAUUGAGCCUUGAUGUGUAGGAUAGGUGGGAGGCUUUGAAGUGUGGACGCCAGUCUGCAUGGAGCCGACCUUGAAAUACCACCCUUUAAUGUUUGAUGUUCUAACGUUGACCCGUAAUCCGGGUUGCGGACAGUGUCUGGUGGGUAGUUUGACUGGGGCGGUCUCCUCCUAAAGAGUAACGGAGGAGCACGAAGGUUGGCUAAUCCUGGUCGGACAUCAGGAGGUUAGUGCAAUGGCAUAAGCCAGCUUGACUGCGAGCGUGACGGCGCGAGCAGGUGCGAAAGCAGGUCAUAGUGAUCCGGUGGUUCUGAAUGGAAGGGCCAUCGCUCAACGGAUAAAAGGUACUCCGGGGAUAACAGGCUGAUACCGCCCAAGAGUUCAUAUCGACGGCGGUGUUUGGCACCUCGAUGUCGGCUCAUCACAUCCUGGGGCUGAAGUAGGUCCCAAGGGUAUGGCUGUUCGCCAUUUAAAGUGGUACGCGAGCUGGGUUUAGAACGUCGUGAGACAGUUCGGUCCCUAUCUGCCGUGGGCGCUGGAGAACUGAGGGGGGCUGCUCCUAGUACGAGAGGACCGGAGUGGACGCAUCACUGGUGUUCGGGUUGUCAUGCCAAUGGCACUGCCCGGUAGCUAAAUGCGGAAGAGAUAAGUGCUGAAAGCAUCUAAGCACGAAACUUGCCCCGAGAUGAGUUCUCCCUGACUCCUUGA